This 239-nucleotide long non-coding RNA is filed under the name Bos taurus (domestic cattle). Its description in RNAcentral is "long non-coding RNA NONBTAT017297". Lineage: Eukaryota; Metazoa; Chordata; Mammalia; Artiodactyla; Bovidae. The record is from RNAcentral.
GGGGAAGUAUGUAUCAGGAAGGCCAGAGAGGGAAGAAAUGGUUAAGCGAGAACAGAAGUAGGUUCUCCAGGGGAGACUCCAUCUCAUUCAAUUGUGAGAAGAUGGCCAGGGCCUGGGCACAGACAUAAUUUAGGUAGCUGGACUUAGGCAGUGUGGACUUUGGGCCUUGAGGGAAAAUAGUAUUUUCAAAGAAAGCAUUUUAAUAAAACAUUUUAAGUCCUGCCCUUCUUUUGGUCUUC